This 255-nucleotide non-coding RNA is filed under the name Enterococcus sp. Its description in RNAcentral is "T-box sequence". It matches the Rfam family "T-box leader". From Rfam's summary of the family: Uncharged tRNA acts as the effector for transcription antitermination of genes in the T-box leader family. Lineage: Bacteria; Bacillati; Bacillota; Bacilli; Lactobacillales; Enterococcaceae. The record is from RNAcentral.
AAUAACGCGUAGAGAUGGAAAGUACAUACGAAAAGCAUCAGACAGAGAGCCUGUGAAAGCUGAGAACAGGCGGUGAAGGACGUAUGGAAAAUGGCCAUUGAGCAGCGCUCCGAGUGGAGAAAUCCAUAAGGCGGCGACGGGGGCACCCGUUAUCGUGCUAGAGUAUAAACAGCGAUUUAGCUGUCGUACUUGAUAAGUGUAUUUAUGUGAAUAAAUACUGAAGUGAGGUGGUAACACGCAGAAGGCGUCCUCAAG